Sus scrofa (pig) is the source of this 1876-nucleotide non-coding RNA. Lineage: Eukaryota; Metazoa; Chordata; Mammalia; Artiodactyla; Suidae. The record is from RefSeq and is a predicted model, not a curated record.
UCCACGUCCACGCAGAGACGGCAAAGGGGUCUGCCGUCCCGUGGCACCAAAGGCCAGGCUGCCACCAGCACUCUGGGUUAUCUCCCCGGGCCUGACGUCAAUUCCAGGAACCCUUGGGACCAAGAGACUGACCAGCAGCAGAAGGAGACAAGAGCUUUGACCGUGCAGAGCCCCAAGUCGCCCCGGAUAACUUUUUAAAAUACGCAUUGGUUACAAUCUCCCAGUGGAUCCCCACUUCCCUGAGGGUAAAUUCUCGGUUCUCUAAGCUGGCCGGUCCAGAUUCUGAGCUGACCCAAGCACUCCCGGGAGCCCAGGCUGCCUCUGACACCCGCCACUGCCACGACCUGCUUCGGUGCUCUGAGCGCCUCGCGGCAGAGACUGGGGCCCUUCAACCACAGCCUGGAAACACGAGAGAGCCGUGAUCCGUCACCCGAAACCCUGGGCUCAGAUGCAUUUGGGAACACAGAACUUUUCAUUUGCAAAUGAUAACAUGACAUGACACUGCCAGUGGAUCUGGGGCAGCACCCUGUAAUCGGCCACACUGAAAUUCCCGCUGCACAGUGUGUGAAUAUUCGCACGAAGCGGCUAAAUAAAGCCUCGAAAUGUCCUCACAUCCUUUCGGGUCAGGCUUUGCAAGUCACUGAGCUCAGAGCAGGUCUGAAUUUUCUGCCAAAGUGAGGAAGAAAUGUGGGGUGUCAAGAGCCUUGGGAUUAUUUUAAUUAUGCAGAAAGGGUUGCGGAGCUGUGACGGCUGACAUUCCAUUAAUACCCAUGUUCCAGGCACUGCUCCAAGUUUCUAUACGAUGAUGCAUCAUGUAACAUAUUCUAUACAUAUUAUAUUAACAUAUGUUAUAAGUAAUAGUGAGAGAGUCUAUCUAUAAAAUCUCACUGAGUGCUCAAAACAAUCCUAUACACUGAGAGUCAUCACCUUAUUUUGCAGAUAAGGAAACUGGCAGGGAACACAGAAGGGGUGGGCAGCAGACCACAAACCCCACCCGUGCUCCACCCCUGUGCUCAGCCAUCACUGGGGAAAGGAAUCAAUGAGACCCAAGCGUGCGCGUGUUAUACUCAGCAGGGUGUGCGUGAAGCGGCUCCAAAAGAAAUGGCCGGGCUGGCCUUGUCAGUUCCCUGGGCUCGCUGGCCUCGAACCUCUUUCCUUUUUCGAGGCACUGCUUCUAUCCCAACUUAAAUGUUUACAGAAAGCACAUUCAAGCGGCCCACUUCUCAGACACAGGUGCCCGCCUGGUGCAGGGUUAGGCUUCUGACCCACGUGAGGGCAAACCCAACCAUUCCCUGGGACUUGGGACCUGGCAUCACAAAGUCAUCUUCUUUCUGGUGCCUGGACAAUGAAACAGAAACAUAUUUCAGAGGAAGACAAGGAACGACCACAAUGAGCCUAAACAGACAAAGAGAGCCCGGCAUAGCCUAGAGUGUAGCCGAUGUUUUCCACCUUUUCUUCUCUGUUUUUGUGUUUUGGUCAUGCCCACGGCAUGCAGAAGUUCCCUGGCCAGGAAUCGAACCUGUGCCACAGCAGUGACAACGCUGGAUCCUUAACCCACUGAGCCACCAGGGAACUCCUCUAUGUUUUCUUUUUAAAUAAAACACUGGCUGGCGCCCAGGAACUAGCAGGCCCAGUGGGGCUGCCUCUGCUGCUGAUACACAACUGUUUACUGCCAAGUCAAUUGGCAAUUAAAUUAUCCAACCAAGGCUUCCUGUGCACCUACUAUGGGCCAGGCGCUCUGCUAAGCAGAUGAUAGCAGUGAAAAGUAAAAUAAUCAAAGUGCGCGUGUCAUGCUCCAGGGAGGAGAUGGGGAGCAGAGAGGGUGUCGGCAGUAGGCUUAAAUCAAUUUGUAAUUGCACCUGAAGUGGAACAAAAA